RNAcentral lists this long non-coding RNA (1163 nucleotides) under Gouania willdenowi (blunt-snouted clingfish). Its description in RNAcentral is "lncRNA (ENSGWIG00000012935.1)". The record is from RNAcentral. Lineage: Eukaryota; Metazoa; Chordata; Actinopteri; Blenniiformes; Gobiesocidae.
CUCAAGAACCAAUUAGCAACGCCUAUAAUUAAGCUCACCAUUAACCCAGGGGGUAUAGCUCAAACCCUUUGGUGGGUUGAAAUUCCGUCCCCUCUGACGGGAAGUCUGCCGGGGACUACGUAAGUGACGUCAUAGACCUGGGGCUGGUAUAAAAGGUCGAGCCCGUCCACUUCAGAGAGAAGCAGCGCGUGUCUGUGUGUGUGUGCGCAGCUUUCACCCUCACACUGUGGUAAAGAUGACGCCCGUUCAGCUGGGAGUGCUGUUGUUCGCAUUAUGUUUAUUCUCACAGGUGGUGUGCCAGAACAGCACAAACCCAACAGGUGCAGGAAACUCCACCAUGAACUACACCACCAUGGCCCCUGGCAACAUGAGCGGCUCAGGCAACAUCACCGUCACUCCCACUGCAGCGGGCUUCUUGCUUCAUGCAGGACCCUUCUCCCUCCUGAUCCCCAUCAUGGUGGCCUCCUCCCUCCUCCAGAACCCCUACUGAAACCCGGACCCUGUCGACACCUCACCAUGCAACACCUCUUCAUUUCUCAUCCAGCCUUUGGCUUCAGAGACCAUGUGACUAACUUGGAUGGACUCCACUACUCUGUACGUCCCUGUUUCAACAUAUAUCCACCAUAAAGGCGUUUGGGACCCAAUUCUCAUGGCUUCACUCCCCAUGGUUCACGCUCUCUGCUUCCACCCUUUUUUUUUCUUUUGGCUCUUGUUUCCAUAAGUCGCAUCAUCACAUUUUUGGAAAUGCUCAGGGCUGAAGUUGUCACGUCACAUGACUCUAUUAAAUCAUGGACCUGCACCUCAACGUAUACAGAUUAACUCUCAAUAUCCCAAUUAAUGCUAAAGUUUGGCCGAAGAAAAUUAUUUUCUGUUUUUCUGCUCUUUUAUUAGAAAUGUCUUUGAAAUGUAUGUAGCAAAAAAAAAACAAAACAGUUGCCACCAAACUUGUGUCAGUUUUGCCUUGUGAUUUAUUUUUUUUUUGGGGGGUCUGUGUUUGGGUCUAUUAAACUGAGGGUUGGGUUGACACAUUUCUCCCUUUAUCCAACUGUAUGACAUGGAUGGUGUUGGGUUUAUAUUUCCCCCUUAUAGUUUAUAUUUUGUAUAAAUGGAAAUGUACUGUUUAUUAGUUGAUGUAUGAGACAGUGGAAGAAAUAACUAUGGAU